CCGGCGCACGGGUGAGUAACGCGUAUGCAACCUGCCCGUUUCAGCGGGAUAACCCGGAGAAAUCCGGCCUAAUACCGCAUGUGGCCGAGGGGAGGCAUCUUCUUUCGGCCAAAGGAGGCAACUCCGGAGACGGAUGGGCAUGCGUGACAUUAGCUUGUUGGCGGGGUAACGGCCCACCAAGGCGACGAUGUCUAGGGGUUCUGAGAGGAAGGUCCCCCACACUGGUACUGAGACACGGACCAGACUCCUACGGAAGGCAGCAG
RNAcentral lists this ribosomal RNA (263 nucleotides) under uncultured bacterium. RNAcentral describes it as "partial 16S ribosomal RNA". It matches the Rfam family "Bacterial small subunit ribosomal RNA", at positions 95 to 354 of the family's 1533-position model. The record is from RNAcentral.